This is a non-coding RNA of Phrynosoma platyrhinos (Desert horned lizard), 73 nucleotides long. The record is from the annotation of a GenBank genome assembly. Lineage: Eukaryota; Metazoa; Chordata; Lepidosauria; Squamata; Phrynosomatidae.
GUAUAAGUGGUGUAGUGGUUUGAGUGUUGGACUAGCACUCUUGCAUACCAGGGUUCAAAUCCCUGCUCAGCCA